Molecule: non-coding RNA, 346 nt
Organism: Pelobates cultripes (western spadefoot toad)
Lineage: Eukaryota; Metazoa; Chordata; Amphibia; Anura; Pelobatidae
Source: the annotation of a GenBank genome assembly
CUCACUGUACUAUUUACACUUUCCCCUCCUAUUUCUCUUUCUCUGUUGAGAGAAGUGAUUGGUCACACACUUCUCGCCACGCUCCAAUCCGCGGCUACCACGGGUAGACGGAAUCAGUGACUAGUCUACGUUUUGGGAAGACGUACUUAAAGAGCUUGCUCUUAAAGUAGCAGUCGAGCACGGUAGACGUUCUGUUCCUUUCUCUCUCUAUGUCUGGGACGCCUUAUAUAGGGUGGAUGGGACAGAAGUUAGAUAAACCCAGUAAGGGUUGGUUAGCAUGUGAUCUAGUGGAAGACAGAGAAGGAGAAGAGAUGGUUAAGAAAGUGAGUAAGAUUGCUAAAGUAUG